GCCGGGUGUUCCGCAGAGGCGGAGAAGGGAGCAAGGCCACUGAGGUGAGGGGGUGGGGCCAUGAGAGGGGCCACACAGACACCAACAGAUCCGCACAUCCCCUUGGAAGUGUGAAGAGGAAGCAGGGGCCUAAAAGAUGAGAUUCUUAUUCAGAGAACUUCUAUGAGCUCCACUGGAGUGCAGUGUUGUGGGAUGGUUUCCAUGGCAACCCCCUGCCGUCCUCCCCAGAGACCACAAGGACAGCUUCCAAAGCUCCUUCAGGUCCAGGCUGAGGCUUCCCCACCCCAGCAACCACCCCAAGGUGUGGAGGGCCCACCCCCGGGGCCAGACCUGUCCACACAGGGCCCACGCCCACCCAUCUGCUCCAUGUCCCACCUGGGCUUCUCCACCUUGGCCCUGUGCUGUCCCCCAACACUUGGGGAAGCAGGGCCCACCACUGCACACUAUGUUAGGACCCAUGCACGCACCAGGUACUGUGUGUGCCCGGACAUGUCCAGACUCAAGUUCUGUCUCUUACCUGAAGGUGAGUGUACUGCCCAAGGUAAUCUGGGGACCUCCAUCCUCCCCACCUGUCUACUGGGCAGUGGCUGGGCAAGAAGCUUCCUCCCUGGGGCCAGGGACUGGUGGUAGAAUGGGGCCCUCACAGGAUGCUCCCCAACUUUACUCCGGGGGUGUAGCAAUGGCUGCUGGGCCACA
RNAcentral lists this long non-coding RNA (696 nucleotides) under Fukomys damarensis (Damara mole-rat). RNAcentral describes it as "lncRNA (ENSFDAG00000030128.1)". The record is from RNAcentral. Lineage: Eukaryota; Metazoa; Chordata; Mammalia; Rodentia; Bathyergidae.